GACAGAGGGUGCAAACGUUGUUCGGAAUUACUGGGCGUAAAGCGCGUGUAGGCGGCUUGGCAAGUCGGGUGUGAAAGCCCUGGGCUCAACCUAGGAAGUGCACUCGAAACUGCCGAGCUGGAGUUCUGGAGAGGAAGGCGGAAUUCUCGGUGUAGAGGUGAAAUUCGUAGAUAUCGAGAGGAACACCGGUGGCGAAGGCGGCUUGCUGGGCUUGGUCUGACGCUGAGGCGCGAAAGCGUGGGGAGCGAACAGG
This 253-nucleotide ribosomal RNA is filed under the name uncultured bacterium. Its description in RNAcentral is "partial 16S ribosomal RNA". It matches the Rfam family "Bacterial small subunit ribosomal RNA", at positions 524 to 776 of the family's 1533-position model. The record is from RNAcentral.